RNAcentral lists this long non-coding RNA (283 nucleotides) under Oryctolagus cuniculus (rabbit). RNAcentral describes it as "lncRNA (ENSOCUG00000031097.1)". Lineage: Eukaryota; Metazoa; Chordata; Mammalia; Lagomorpha; Leporidae. The record is from RNAcentral.
GCUCCCAGGUGGACCAGCGUCCAACGAGAGCGAGAGCUGGAGUCAGGGGGUCCGGAGGUUCAGGGCGGCCUGCGUCCGAGGGACGAGACUAGGGUCUGAGGUCCCGGGGUCCGAGUGGCCUGCGUCCGAGGAGCGAGGCUGGGGUCUGGGGUCCGGGGUCCGGGUGGCCUGCGUCCGAGGGGCGAGGCUGGGGUCUGGGGUCCGGGGUUCAGGCGGCCUGCGUCCGAGGGGCGAGGCGCGAGGCCGGGGUCCGGCUCCGGGUGCCUGCGUCUGAGGGCGAGGC